This 324-nucleotide long non-coding RNA is filed under the name Bos taurus (domestic cattle). RNAcentral describes it as "long non-coding RNA NONBTAT019275". Lineage: Eukaryota; Metazoa; Chordata; Mammalia; Artiodactyla; Bovidae. The record is from RNAcentral.
UGUGAAUGGCAUACCAGUGAGGCUGACUCUAGGGGGCAAAACUCCUAAUAUCCCUUAGAUUAAAUCCCAUUAGCUUUAGUGGGUACCAGUCCAAGUGCCUGCAUUUUCAAAGUGCAGUGGCUUAAUCUUUACUAAGUAAUUCAGCCAUCAGACCCUUCCAGGGCUUUCCUUUAGCACUUCCACGCUUCUUAGGAGAUACUGAUUUCUGUUGAUUGAUCAUUGUUGACCAAGGAUUAAGUGGUUGUUAUUCUAUCUUUGGAGAGGAGAAAGGUGGCAUCCAGGCAUACCUACAAAGCUCAGUGACACCUUUCCCCUGGUUGUCUU